This 82-nucleotide transfer RNA is filed under the name Daphnia pulex (common water flea). It matches the Rfam family "tRNA". From Rfam's summary of the family: Transfer RNA (tRNA) molecules are approximately 80 nucleotides in length. Their secondary structure includes four short double-helical elements and three loops (D, anti-codon, and T loops). Lineage: Eukaryota; Metazoa; Arthropoda; Branchiopoda; Diplostraca; Daphniidae. The record is from Rfam by way of RNAcentral.
GGUAGCGUGGCCGAGCGGUCCAAGUCGCUGGUUUAAGGCACCAGUCUCUUCGGGGGCAUGGGUUCGAAUCCCAUCGCUGCCA